RNAcentral lists this long non-coding RNA (1402 nucleotides) under Heterocephalus glaber (naked mole-rat). RNAcentral's name for it is "lncRNA (ENSHGLG00000036536.1)". Lineage: Eukaryota; Metazoa; Chordata; Mammalia; Rodentia; Bathyergidae. The record is from RNAcentral.
GUGCGGAAGGGCUUUCCAAGCAAAGGAAACGAUGACGUUCUAUAGCCCCCACCAGGAACUAAGUUUUAUGUAGAUAUUCUGGGAGAAAAAAACAACAACUGAAAAACACCUAGCGUUCCUUUUUGCCUUUGUCAACUGAGUAACCUUGAGAAAGACAGCUUUACCUCUCCUGAGCCCUUUCUCCUCUGCAAACUAAGGUCGGGUAGUCUCACGUACCUUACAAACUUAUUUCAAGGAGCAAAACGCUCAGGGGUGCCCUUUAUGGCAUUACAGGGAUUGCCAAGAGAGCGGUGGGAAAUACAGAGAAGGCCCUGCUGGUGUCGAGCUUCGACCCUGAAUAACGGCCACACUUGCUUCCUUGCCUGCGAAUUAAGGCUAAGGCACCUGUCUCGCCGGGCGGCGGCGGCGGCGGCGGCGGCGGCGGCGUGGCGUCGUCGUCGAAAUAAUCCACGUACAUAUCGCGACUGCCAGAAGCCCCUCCAGACCCAAUCAUCAUUCGUGCUGCGCCGAGCAGGCCGGCGCUUGGAGGCUACUCCGCAGGGUUUGUGGAACAGACUCGGUGCAAAGUGAGCCCAAACACGCCGGACUGCGGUGCUGAGCUUUACCCCACUUCCUCACUCUCCCGGGACAUUCCCGUCUCUAAGAGUAGCUCCGCCUUCCGAAGACCCUGUCAGAGUGGACAUACCAGUUUAAAAGGCCUCGGAACGGAGCUCCCACCAAACGAAUUGUUCCGAAGGCGCCUCGAGACCUUUUCAGCGCGCCCUCUCGCGAACCACCCGCCACCAACCAACCCUACCCGGAGCAAGGUCCUACUAUCCAGGCGCCCGGACGCCCGCCCUUAUAAAGACGUAGAGACGUCACCGCGCUGCGCGCGCGGAAAGACGCUGGCGCGACCACGCCCAGGCCUGCGCGGAGGUCCCGGCGCCGGCGCAGUGGGCCGCGCCUGCCCGAAAGCCCGGGAGGUGGGCGCUGAGUCCAGCAGGGGUGGACGAGCGAGCGUCUGGCCGCGGCGCCCGUGUGAGCAGGCCGGGGGAGGAGGACGUGAAGGGGGAAGUGCGGAAGUUUCUCCGGUAUCGGCGGGACUUGGGGCGGUUUUCCAGCCGGCUCUGAGUCGGUGAGAGCCUGAGGCUGAGGCGGCAGAGAGAACUUGCCCGGCCGGGGUUCGCCUGAGGUGCAGACUGCGGCCGGCACAGAGGAGCGACCGGCUGUCCGCCGUUUCCUUGGUGCUGCCUUAGUGGGCUCCGUUGCCGACAGGAACUGGAAGCCAGGCGUCGAGGGUCGGCCUGGGAGCUCCGAGCGGGAAAUAACUGGUUUAUUUUCGCUUCUCAGAAUACCAAUGGACUCAAGUACAAAAUGAUCGGAUAAUGCAAAGUUGAGCACAUGUGGUACAAGUAACUUUAAA